This 454-nucleotide ribosomal RNA is filed under the name uncultured bacterium. RNAcentral's name for it is "partial 16S ribosomal RNA". It matches the Rfam family "Bacterial small subunit ribosomal RNA", at positions 28 to 507 of the family's 1533-position model. The record is from RNAcentral.
GAUGAACGCUGACAGAAUGCUUAACACAUGCAAGUCAACUUGAACUUCGGUUUGGGUGGCGGACGGGUGAGUAACGCGUAAAGAACUUGCCUCACAGCUAGGGACAACAUUUGGAAACGAAUGCUAAUACCUGAUAUUAUGAUUUUAGGGCAUCCUAGAAUUAUGAAAGCUAUAUGCGCUGUGAGAGAGCUUUGCGUCCCAUUAGCUAGUUGGAGAGGUAACGGCUCACCAAGGCGAUGAUGGGUAGCCGGCCUGAGAGGGUGAACGGCCACAAGGGGACUGAGACACGGCCCUUACUCCUACGGGAGGCAGCAGUGGGGAAUAUUGGACAAUGGACCAAGAGUCUGAUCAAGCAAUUCUGUGUGCACGAUGAAGUUUUUCGGAAUGUAAAGUGCUUUCAGUUGGGAAGAAAAAAAUGACGGUACCAACAGAAGAAGUGACGGCUAAAUACGUG